RNAcentral lists this ribosomal RNA (253 nucleotides) under uncultured bacterium. RNAcentral describes it as "partial 16S ribosomal RNA". It matches the Rfam family "Bacterial small subunit ribosomal RNA", at positions 524 to 776 of the family's 1533-position model. The record is from RNAcentral.
UACGUAGGUGGCGAGCGUUGUCCGGAUUUACUGGGCGUAAAGAGCGCGCAGGCGGUCGUUCAAGUCGCGUGUGAAAGCCCCCGGCUCAACUGGGGAGGGUCACGCGAUACUGAUCGACUCGAAGGCAGGAGAGGGAAGUGGAAUUCCCGGUGUAGUGGUGAAAUGUGUAGAUAUCGGGAGGAACACCAGUGGCGAAGGCGGGACUCUGGGCCGAUACUGACGCUGAGGAGCGAAAGCGUGGGGAGCGAACAGG